Molecule: ribosomal RNA, 484 nt
Filed under: uncultured bacterium
Lineage: Bacteria
Description: partial 16S ribosomal RNA
Rfam family: Bacterial small subunit ribosomal RNA
Source: RNAcentral
AUUGAACGCUGGCGGCAUGCUUUACACAUGCAAGUCGAACGGCAGCGCGGUCUUCGCUCUGGCGGCGGGUGGCGGACGGGUGGGUAAUGCAUCGGAACAUGGGCAGCUGUUUGUGCGUGCGGGGCGAAAGCCGGAUUAAUACCGCAUAAGAGCUGACGGUGAAAGCGGGGGAGCGGAAGGUCUUGCGCCCUUGGGCGGUCCGAUGUCGGAUUAGCUAGUUGGUGGGGUAAAGGCGUACCAAGGCGACGAUCCGUAGCUGGUCUGAGAGGACGAGCAGCCACACUGGGACUGAGACACGGCCCAGACUCCUACGGGAGGCAGCAGUGGGGAAUUUUGGACAAUGGGGGCAAGCCUGAUCCAGCCAUGCCGCGUGCGGGAAGAAGGCCUUCGGGUUGUAAACCGCUUUUGUUCGGGAAGAAAUCCUGUGGGCUAAUACCCCGGGGUGAUGACGGUACCGGAAGAAUAAGCACCGGCUAACUACGUG